UUGCUUUUGCAGCACAGAUACUAAAAUUGAAAAGAUACAGAAAAUACUAGAGUGGCCUCCACAAGAGGAUAACAUGAAUUUAUUAAAUGUGCCAUGGGUUUUG
RNAcentral lists this small nuclear RNA (103 nucleotides) under Bison bison bison. The record is from RNAcentral. Lineage: Eukaryota; Metazoa; Chordata; Mammalia; Artiodactyla; Bovidae.